Molecule: transfer RNA, 66 nt
Filed under: Octopus salutii
Lineage: Eukaryota; Metazoa; Mollusca; Cephalopoda; Octopoda; Octopodidae
Description: tRNA-Tyr
Source: RNAcentral
UAUGAGGUGGUCGAAGUUUUAGUCGGUAGAUUGUAAAUCUAUUUAUAAGUAUAUACUUUCUCAUGG